RNAcentral lists this ribosomal RNA (1163 nucleotides) under uncultured bacterium. Its description in RNAcentral is "bacterial SSU rRNA". It matches the Rfam family "Bacterial small subunit ribosomal RNA", at positions 45 to 1189 of the family's 1533-position model. The record is from RNAcentral.
UGCUUAACACAUGCAAGUCGAGUGCGCGGCAGGAGCAAUACAACUGGCGCACGGCGCACGGGUGCGUAACACGUGGGCAAUCUGCCCUUCGAUGGGGAAUAACUCCGGGAAACCGAAGCUAAUUCCGCAUAACAUUCCUUGGACUCCGGUUCGAGGAUUCAAAGCCGUAAGGCGUCGAAGGAGGAGCCCGCGCACGAUUAGCUAGUUGGUAGGGUAACGGCCUACCAAGGCUUUGAUCGUUAGCUGGUCUGAGAGGAUGGCCAGCCACACUGGAACUGAGACACGGUCCAGACUCCUACGGGAGGCAGCAGUGGGGAAUCUUGCACAAUGGGCGAAAGCCUGAUGCAGCGACGCCGCGUGGGGGAUGAAGCAUCUCGGUGUGUAAACCCCUUUCGACUGGGACGAAUGCCUCGCAAGAGGAGUGACGGUACCAGUAGAAGAAGCCCCGGCUAACUACGUGCCAGCAGCCGCGGUAAGACGUAGGGGGCCAGCGUUGUUCGGAAUUAUUGGGCGUAAAGGGUGCGUAGGCGGUGCGACAAGUCACCUGUGAAAUCUCCGGGCUUAACUCGGAGCCUGCAGGCGAAACUGUCGUGCUGGAGUAUGGGAGAGGUGCGUGGAAUUCCCGGUGUAGCGGUGAAAUGCGUAGAUAUCGGGAGGAACACCUGUGGCGAAAGCGGCGCACUGGACCAUAACUGACGCUGAUGCACGAAAAGCUAGGGGAGCAAACAGGAUUAGAUACCCUGGUAGUCCUAGCCCUAAACGAUGAUUGCUUGGUGUAGCAGGUACCCAAUCCUGCUGUGCCGAAGCUAACGCGAUAAGCAAUUCCGCCUGGGGAGUACGGUCGCAAGGCUGAAACUCAAGGAAUUGACGGGGGCCCGCACAAGCGGUGGAGCUUGUGGCUCAAUUCGACGCAACGCGAAGAACCUUACCUGGGCUCGAGCGCAGUGGUACCCGGGGUAGAAAAUUCCCUUUCCCCUUAAAAGGCUGCUGCGGAGAUGCUGCAUGGCUGGUCGACAGCUUCGGCCGGGAGAAUGGUGGGUAUAGUCCGCGCAACGAGCGCAAACCUUUUAUUCCUAGUUUGCCAUCUGGGUCCAAGCCGGACAUCUAUAUUGAAACCGUGCCUCGUGAUUAUACUCAGGAGAGAAAGGUGGGGGAUAGGACAG